UGGUCACUGCCAGUGCUGAGACAUUAAAGAUCCAGGCCCCACGGAGAACCAGGGCACCUGGACUUUGAUCUUGCCAGAAUAGUAUGCCU
Gorilla gorilla gorilla (western lowland gorilla) is the source of this 89-nucleotide microRNA precursor. The record is from Ensembl. Lineage: Eukaryota; Metazoa; Chordata; Mammalia; Primates; Hominidae.